UACGGAGGGUGCAAGCGUUAUCCGGAUUCACUGGGUUUAAAGGGUGCGUAGGUGGGCUGGUAAGUCAGUGGUGAAAUCUCCAGGCUUAACUUGGAAACUGCCAUUGAUACUAUCAGUCUUGAAUACCGUGGAGGUCAGCGGAAUAUGUCAUGUAGCGGUGAAAUGCUUAGAUAUGACGUAGAACACCAAUGGCGAAGGCAGCUUACUACAGGAAUAUUGACACUGAUGCACGAAAGCGUGGGGAUCAAACAGG
RNAcentral lists this ribosomal RNA (253 nucleotides) under uncultured bacterium. RNAcentral's name for it is "partial 16S ribosomal RNA". It matches the Rfam family "Bacterial small subunit ribosomal RNA", at positions 524 to 776 of the family's 1533-position model. The record is from RNAcentral.